GCGCUGGUUGUCGCCCUCGCACCACUUCCAGAGCACGACCUCGGUGCCGUCGUGGACGCCGCCGUGGGCCUUGUCGCCGUGGAAGGCGUCGAAGUUGAGGUAGAUGUUGUUCACCAUGCGGACGCAGCGGAAGCCCUUGCCCACGUCGCGGCUCUCCGUCCACAGCACCGACUCGUCCUGGUACGCCGGGUUGUACGGCACCAGCUUCACCUGCACACGCACCAUCAAUUACAGAUCUUGGUGAGAACUGCUGCCAGAUGCUUCUCUGCUCAAAUCAUGCACAAUAUUUGUGUGUGUGUGUGUGGGUGGGUGCUUACGGGGUGGCCCUGGCCGGUGGAGUGCUUGAUGCAUUCGCCGGUGACCUUGUUCACCAGCGCAAACGCAGGGUACCCUUCCUCGUCCCUGAUCUUGUUGCUGUGCCUCAUGUCCUUGAUCCAGUGCUGCACAAAGAUCCGGUAAUUUCAGUUUCAUUCACAGAUCGCCGCACGGCACGACAGGUAAAAAGAAAGGACUCUGUUUAAUUUGGUCAAGUAGCAGCAGCAGAAUUGACCUGGUAGUCGUCCCUGGGGUUGGUGGGGGCGAGGCAGACGGUGCCGUUGCGGGCGGUGAGGCUGUAGUCCUCGCCGGCCUUGCAGAAGACGCGCACGGCAUGCACGGGGGGGCCGCCGCCCAUGGCGUGGGCGUUGUUGCCCAUGGUGGCGCCGGACUCGACGGCGGCGUGCGCCUCGGCCCAGGGCCAGAUCUUCCAGCACUGGUUGUCCCCCUUGCACCACUCCCAGAGCACGACGGUGGUGCCGUCGUGCACGCCGCCGUGGUCCUUGUCGCCGUUGAGGGCGUCGAAGUUGAGGCGGGUGUUGUUGACCAUGCGGAUGCAGCGGAAGCCCUUGCCCACGUCCUUGCUCUCCGUCCACAGCACCGACGCGUCCUCGUACGCCGGGUUGAACGGCACCAGCUUCACCUGCAACGCAUCCGUGGAUGUCAAGAACUCAAGAUCAAUCGAAGCGAAGAAGGCGAAGACGGACGAUCUGAUUCUGACGGAGCGAACGGACGGGAAGACUUACGGGGUGGGACUGGCCGAUGGAGUGCUUGACGGCGAGGCCGGUGGCCUUGUUGACGAGCGCGAAGGCCGGCAUGCCCUCCUCGUCCUUGACGGUGGUGCUGAAGCGCAUGUCCUUGAGCCAGUGCUGGGUCUCGUCCUUGGGGUUGACGGGGGCGAGCACCACCUCGCCGUCGCGGACGGCGAGGCAGUAGUCCUCCGAGGCCCGGCAGUAGAUCUUGAAGAUCUGGUUGGGGCCCGACGCCGCCGGCGCCUGGUCCUUGUGGUGGUGCCCGAACCCGAACAUCUUGGCGGCGAGGAGAGCGUGUGUGAUCGGCUCUGUUGGUUGGGACCUCGGAGCUGUGCGAGUGAGGAGAGAGCGCUGCCCCAUGGCCCCGUUAUAUAGAGCGGGGAGCAGAGCAAACCAGGAGCAUAUCUCCACUCACGCGCUGUAAAAUCUUGAAAAUCUUUGGAGCAUAUCUCUCCAGCGGCCUGGAAUAAAUGGUAAAUAGUAAGUGACGGAUACGAUCGCUCGAUCGCUGCCAGUACAGCACUAGCACUAGCCGUUUGGCGUGAAUGUGCUACCGGAAGAUUUUGGUUCGGUUAGCAGGAUUUUGGCUCGAUUGACAGCAGUAGCCGGUUGCUGCCAGUACCAAAGUUUAGCUGUAUGCAUGCAAAUAUAUGCAAUGGCCAAAAAUGCCAGCAGCAUACUGUAUAAAUUGUUGUGUUGGUUUGGUGGAGUACAGUUAAUGUAUUUUGUAUUUUGCACUCCAUCCGUUGGCUCAUACUAGCAGUGUCUUCUUCUGGUAGGAGUACAUCCUUAGCGGCUAAGUAUCCUGGUAAUUAAAGACUAAAUAUUUUUCUCUGCUCUUGGAUUAUAUUUGGUCCUGCAGCAGUACUAGUGUCAAAUUUCAGCUGACACUUGGCACUGAUUCGCAGCAUAGCCGUUUGGUGGGAACGUACUGGAAGGUUCUGGCUCGAUUUACCUACUACUCCAGUGUUUUCUUCGGCAUUAACUUUGCAUUAGCUGUAUGCAUGCAAAUACACAAUGGCCAGCGUAUUAUGGAUUAGUGGAGUAGAGCUAAUGUUUUUGUAAUGGGCCGACGCAAACGGUAGCGAAUUUGGCCAUUUUUUGUCCGUUUGGGUCGGCAGGCACGAAGAUGCCCGGUUCUGUCCGAUGGGCCGUAGGUGCACCUAAUGUGGCCGACCCAUUUUAAAGUUGCGUAUUUUAAAAAUACUAAUCCAAAUAAAACGUUAGAAAUAUAAACUUAAUAGUUAAAACACCGCCAAAGUCCACUUACAUUAAACUAGCAUGCACCUCCUGCACCCCCACACCCCCCCCCCCGGCCCUCCAGCUGCUUGGCCGCCUCCACCGCCUGCUCCACCUGGCGUUCGGCCGCCAAAGCCUGCAUCUCGGCGUCAUACGAGUGUUGCCGCGCCUCCUAACCGGUCACGCCCACCUAUAUGGGUGUGCAUGACACGUAGAGAGGCAAGGUGCUCGUCCACGACCAUGUUUGAAGUGGCUUUGGAGCGGGCGGCGCGUUGGGCUCCACCCUGGCCGCAUAUUCGGCCAUAGUGAUAGCAAGGCCAAGCCAACGCGCCAUCUCCUCGCACUCGGAUUCCUCGAGCGCCCGCCUAGUCGCCUCCUCUAGGGCCGCGAGGUACGCAGCCUCCUCCUGGUCCUCCUCCUUGACCAUCCCCGGCGAUGGUGGAGCGCGGGCCUCCAUCGUGAAGCUCCCAUGGCGGCGUACAUGGUGCUCCGUGGAGAACCACACGUCCCCCAUCGCCGAGUCUAGCGUGUAGUCCGGGUCACUGCGGAACGCGGGCGGGAGGGCAACACAGCGGUUGCAGAUCUCGGCUGCACGUGCGCGUUCGGACUGCGGCACCGGAACCCUGUCAGGGUUGAGGUGCCAGCCAUGCGGGAGGUUGACGUCUGACCACGGCAGAGGCACACUGUGCUCCCAAUGGUAGAGCGCCCGGUGCACAAGGGUGUACAGUCGGUUGCAUUCGCGUGUAGGCCCCCUGGAGGGGGUCUGCGACGUCAAAAUGAAGUGGGCCGAGCGUGCACGACGAGCCGGCCUCGUGGUCAUGCUUGCCACGCUUACUGAAGAAGCCCAUGGCGACGGCUCGUGUACACCGGCAGGGGAGCAAGCUAGAUGUGGACUGGUGGGGAUGGAAGUGGAUGAGGUGGCCCCCCACUGCACGCUUGUCAUUUAAAAUGGACGGGUGUGGGUGCUUCCUGUGGUUGACAUGCGGGCCCGAACGUGCGAGUGGUAUUUACUAGGAACCGGAGGUGAUGGUUCAGCGGCCGACACGCGGGCCCGAGGCGGACACAUAGCGGACUCACAACACGUCCGCCUCGUGUCCGUGUGGAUGCAAAUCAAACCUAAAUUUGGGUCCAAAAUGCGUCCAGACGGGCACCGAGCGGACGCAAUUUGGGAAUGCGUCAGCGUGUUUGGCCAUGUUUUCUGUCCCCGCGGACCCAAAUAGACGUGGCCGGACAAAAUUUGUCGGCGCGUUGGAGUUAGCCUUACACAACUACAGAAGCAAGCUCAGGUCUGUCAUCUGUCUUCCACUUCGUCUCUCCUCCCUAGGGAAAAGGAUGUCUAGGAUUCUUGCCUCCUCUCGGCGUUGCCGUCCGCCUACCACAUCUCAUGUGGCCUUAGGGCCAUGGGGCGCGAUAGAUCCUGGUCACUGCCGGCGGGAGGACUCCGUUUUUAGGCAUUUCUUUGAAUUUUUUUAGGGUUUGUGGCCUGCUCAGGCAAGAUGGUGGUGGUUCUGUAAAGAUGAAAUAAGGUUCUCCCCACCUAGCCCCCAUCCCGGUAGUGCAUCUAGCAUCGUCGGAGGGCGUGUGGAGGUGUGUCUUCGGUGGAUGAAUAAAACCAACGGGAUUCGGUUGGUGGUUGUCUUUGGUGGAUCUGUUUGGAUCUGGUCUUUGUUCGUCUAUGUUCGUGUGCCUUUUGGUUGCAUCCUUCCGAUCUACACUUCUCUUUAUCUGCGGCGGUUGCUAUUCUAGUGCAUUGGUCGAAUGGAGUCUUAGUACGACGAUUUUUUGACUCUCUACUACAACAAGUUUUGCUCGGCUCCAACACGGGAGGGGCAAUGACGGCGACAUGCAUUCGCUUGCUUCAGCGCUUGUAGUCGUCGUUAAGUCAUCUACGGAUUCAUAUGUAUUUUUAUUGUUGCUGAUGUUUGUUGUAUUACCACGAUUGAAGAUGAAUAGAUAGAAAGUUUCCUGAAAAAAUCCAUUUAAUUAAAGACUAAAUAUGUUGAUGUAUUUUAAGUUAUUUUGGCCAUUUAGAGCAUCUAUAGUCGGGCGCCUCAAACCCCCUCAUACGCCUGGGCAGACAGUCGGCUCACUGACCAGUUAAAAAAGCCUGACGUAGACAGGCGCCUCAAAUCAGCCUCAAACGCUCGGGCUGAUCGGCGCCUCUCAUAUGUAGCACAAAUAUCGGGCGGAUAUGGCGUGGCCCUGAUACGCCUCCAACGUAUCUAUAAUUUUUGAUUGUUUCAUGCUGUUAUAUUAUCAUUCUUGGAUGUUUUAUAAUCAUUUUAUAGUCAUUUUACAUCAUUUUUUGGUACUAACCUAUUGACAUAGUGCCAAGUGCUAGUUGAUGUUUUCUGCAUGUUUUUUACAUCGCAGGAAAUCAAUACCAAACGGAGUCCAAACGCAACGAAACUUUUUGGAGAUUUUUUUUGGACCAGAAGACAUCCAGUGGGCCGAAGAAGCGUCUGGGGGCUGCUUCGAGGGGAGCACAACCCACCAGGGCGUGCCAGGAGUCCCAGGCGCGCCCUGGUGGGUUGUGCCCACCUCGGGUGCCCCCUGAACCGACUCUUUGCUCUAUAAAUACCCCAAUAUUUCAGAAACCCUAGGGGAGUCGACGAAAAUUAAUUCCAGCCGCUGCAGAGUCGAGAACCACCAGAUCCAAUCUAGACACCAUCACGGAGGGGUUCACCACUUUCAUUGUUGCCUCUCUGAUGUUGCGUGAGUAGUUCUUUGUAGACCUUCGGGUCCGUAGUUAGUAGCUAGAUGGCUUUCUCUCUCUCGUUUGAUUCUCAAACAAUGGUCUCUUGGAGAUCCAUAUGAUGUAACUCUUUUUUACGGUAUGUUUGUUGGGAUCUGAUGAACUUUGAGUUUAUGAUCAGUUAUAUUUUUUUAUUCAUGAAAGUUAUUUGAGUCUUCUUUGAUCUCUUAUAUGUAUGAUUGCUUAUAGCCUCGUAUUUUUUCUCCGAUAUUUGGGUUUUGUUUGGCCAACUUGAUCUAUUUAUCUUGCAAUGGGAAGAGGUGCUUUGUAGUGGGUUCGAUCUUACGCUGCUUGAUCCCAGUCACAGAAGGGGAACCGACACGUAUGUAUCGUUGCUACUAAGGAUAAAAUGAUGGGGUCUAUUUCUACAUAAAUAGAUCUUGUCUACAUCAUGCCAUUGUUCUUAUUGCAUUACUCCGUUUAUCCAUGAACUUAAUACAUUAGAUGCAUGCUGAAUAGCGGUCGAUGUGUGGAGUAAUAGUAGUAGAUGCAGGCAGGAGUCGGUCUACUAAUCUUGGACGUGAUGCCUAUAUAAUGAUCAUUGCCUGGAUAUCGUCAUGAUUAUUUGAAGUUCUAUCAAUUGCCCAACAGUAAUUUGUUCACCCACCGUUUGCUAUUGACUCGAGAGAAGCCACUAGUGAAACCUAUGGCCCCCGGGUCUCUUUCUCAUAUUAUUUGCCUUUGCGGUCUAUUUUAUUUGUCUUUUAUUUUCAGAUCUAUUAAACCAAAAAUACAAAAAUACCUUGCUGCAAUUUAUUUUAUUUGCCGUUCGAUCUAUCAAUCUAUUACAACUUUCUCCCGUCCACGUGCCAAUUUCUGGUGCGGUGAAAGGGAUUGACAACCCCUUUAACACGUCGGGUUGCGAGUAUUUGUUAUUUGUGUGCAGGUGUUGUUGACGUUGUGUUGCUUGGUUCUCCUACUGGUUCGAUAACCUUGGUUUCAUCAUUAAGGGAAAUACCUACCGCUGCUGUGCUGCAUCAUCCCUUUCUCUUUGGGGAAAUGCCGACGUAGUCCUAGCAGACAUCAGGCCCGGACCCAACCCCAUAUAUAUUCGUCCCCAUUCACUCCCCAGACCGAACCCUAGCCACUCUAUUUGACUCCCCUUUACUCCACACUGUCAGCCAAGCUCCCGUACGGCAAUCUCCAGCCUUCUCCGGCUUGACAGACAGCGGAUCCGAGUCCUACACCUUCAGAUCCUUUGACCCCGAGCUCAUCCGACGCAGCCCCGAGGAGGAGAUGACUGUCCAAUUUGCGCCCCGCCACUCUCGGGAGGAGGCCGCCUGACGGCAGCGCUUGGACCUCUUCCGCCGGGAAUCUAUUGCGUCCAUCCAAAUGGCACAUGGAUCCGCCGCGAGGUGUGUCUCCGCUGCCUCACCGGAGGCGAUGUGGUUCGACUAGCGUCCGAACGCGAUGGCGGAUGGGCAACUGCUUCGUUGAAGCGCAGAGGCGAAGGUGAACGCAUGGGCGUCGUCCGAUGCAAAUAUGGCGCGACGUGCCCGACGUAUGAGGCAGCGAGCGCGGGAGGCGGCGACAAUCCUCGUGGCAGCGGACGUGGGCGAGGCGGAGUCGUUGGAGCCCCGUAUGGUGCACGGCCACCCGGGGCAUCGCAACCGCGUCAUGGUGGACAUCCCCAGCUCCUCUCAAGACGUAUCCAUAAUCGAUCUCACAUCCAAACACCGUGAAGGUUCCGGACUCUGACGAGGAAGAAUAGGGCAUGGGAGACGGCGGGGCCUCGACCCCUAUGAGCAUGUCUGUGUCCCAUGUCCUACUCUACCUUGCCGGUGACCCGACCAACAUUUGGAUGGACGCAACUAGCCGCCGGACAUGGCCACGACAGAGCCGGAUAUGGAUUCGAGAAUUUGCAAAUUGGGUAUCCGACUGUGGAAAAGAUUAUUUAAGACGUGACCGGUUAUUGUCUGCGCGGACGCUUCCGCGGGCGUUUGAGAGGUUGGACUUAUUGUAUCUGGAUGUAGAUGCUCUCAUUUGACAACUAUUCCCCGCUCACCUUGGUUUGGCUGACCGUAUUUUCAUAAGACGAGAAAAAAGUGCAUGCUGUGUUUCAGUAUAGAGAAAAACAGAAAUGCAAAAGAGAAGCAUCAUAUUUUAGCCAGAAAGAAAAAAAGCCACGAACGGCCUGGCUUGGAAGCGUGCACCCGACGCUGCGUGAUUCCCCCACAAAACAAGGUGGGGUUCCAAGUUCGGAUUCCCCCCACCCAUGCCUGCGAUCGCUCUUGUAGCGCAAUCGGCGCUUCACUUUGAUCGUGUCCGGGUGCUUCUUUUGCAUCUCGCUGCCGUCUCGAGCCUUGAUCGACGUGCCCCACUUGCGCGGACAAAACUACAUAUCGUGGAAAUGCCAAGCAGAAUACCAAAGGAAUCCACAUGCUGAAGGCGAUGGUCGAGUCAGGCUAUGCUAUGCUAGCCGCGCGUCUGGUAUACGGAGCCCGUUGGUAAAGCAAUCGUCUCAUUUCGCUCGUCUUAUUUUCUGGCAGAAACCAUGGUGCAUGCAUGCAUAUCCCGCGCACCAAACAUCUGGGGCGUAUGUCUCGACUCUGACUGAACUAUCCAGGGUUCUCGAAACAUCUGGGGUGUUCGUCCGCAUGUGCAGGACGAAAGUGUCUGUCGACCGAGACCAACGUUCGGGCGGUGCAGGUGAGGUGGGUGAACCUGCCGUGCAUGAGUUCCUUUUUCGAGGCAAAAUUCUGUCCUGUGUGAGUAAAGCUAACGGUGAAAUGGGGAGUGAAUUGAACGAACGAACGGCCUCUGCACUGCUGGCGUGGCCAUGUGUGCGCUGCCCCGCUAUUGUUGGUAAAGGGUACAGCUUAUCUCUGGGCGUAGGGAAGAGCGCACCGACUAGUACUGUGGUAGUAUGUGAACUUUUUAAUUUGUUGUUUGUUUUGAGGGUUUGCAACGGGACUUGGUGGAGUGAGCCAACCACUUCUUUGACUCGAUUGAAAGUGCUGCGUAGUACUCUCGUCUGUUGGCGGAGAUUGGCAGGUAGGCCUGCUGUGAUAGAACUGGCCUGCCAAUAUGUGGACAUCCACUUUUCGAAGGAUCAGCUCAAAACGUGUCCAUGUGUCCGUGUCACGACUCUCGACAACGACAAGGCAUCGACGACGUGGGCCUGCCAAGAUCAGUUCUUGACACGGACAGUAAUAAAACACGGUUUACGAUCACACGCACAUUUUCUCUCAUGACGGGUGGAAGUAAAAGGAUAAUUCCUUUUCUUUUUUUGUGCGGUAGGAUUCUUGUUUCGAUGAACUGUUUUUAGCGGGGUUCCGAUGAACUGGUCCUUUGACCGACACACACACCCACACAAAAAAUGGUGCUUUGUUUUAGGCAUGGUCCUUUUGGCAGUAGUUGGGCCGUCACUAGGUUUGUGGAAGUCCAAAUUUAUAACAGGCCCGGUUUGGUCCAGCAGAGUCUAUGCAAGGAUCACGCCGACAGGGAAUUGCUGAAACUCGCAUGGAGGAUUUACUUCGAGGGCAUGCUGGAGGAGAACGCAGAAUGCCGCACUCGUCGGAGCCGCCGGUGGCAUUUGUCAAUUGGGCGAAGCAGGAGGGGAGGUCAGAGGACCCGCGGCGAGAGGCGAGGUGGAACUGCAUUGAAGGACUGAUGCCUACAAGUGUCCCGCCAGAGCCAGAGCCGAUGGAUCCGCUGUCGCCGGCACUGACAACGGAUUGAGCAGGGAAUUGGAGAGUGGGAGUGGGCAUGUGUUGCUCGCGGAGGAGGACAUCAACUAUCUGUCCGUCAACAUUCGGAAACACGAUCCACCGGACAAGUCUCGCCUGAUGCCAACUUUCUCUGCAUAUCAUCGUCACCACCCCUGUGAUCAUGGGGCUGGGCUGCAUAGUCAAGGUUAUGGAAAUUCCUCUGCCAUUGGCGAACAAGCUAGGCUGCAACCUGUUGAAGGCCUUGUGAGACAGACGGAGACUUCUUCUGCUAUACCUGUCACUGGAAUUUCUGUUGCUCAUUCGAGUGAACAGACUGAGGUUUCUGUUGCUCAUUCGGGUGAACAGACCGAGGUUUCUGUUGCUCAUUCGAGUGAAGAGACUGCAGCUUGUCUUCGACAGGAACCUGAUGUUGAGUGGCUUGAGGUCAGAGAUGCUGGUGGUGUGAGUUCUGCCGAAGAAGUUCUCUGAAGAAAACUGAACCCAUCAACAUCUGGAAACACGAUCCACCGGACAAGUCUCGCCUCAUGCCAACUUUCUCUGCACAUCACCGUCACCACUUCUGUGAUCAUGGGGCUGAGCUGCAUAGUCAAGGUUAUGGAAAUUCCUCUGCCAUUGGCGGACAAGCUAGGCUGCAACUUGUUAAAGCCCGUGUGAGACGGACAAAGACUUCUUCUGCUAUAUCUGUCACUGGAAUUUGUAUUGCUCAUUCAAGUGAAGAGACUGAGGUUUGUGUUGCUCAUCCGAGUGAAGAUACCGCGGUUUGUCUUCAACAAGAACAUGAUGUUGAGUGGCUUGAGGUCAGAGAUGCUAGUAGUGUGAGUGCUUCGGACAACUUCUCCAAAAAUCCAGCCGAAAUAGCACGAGCAUCAUCCCAUGGCUGGUGAGGACACUGUUCGAGGACUAGUCAUGAACGGGAACAAAGUGGCUGUGUCUACUACGCAACUUUAUUCUUGUAGACACGUGUUGGGCUCCAAGCGCAGAGUUUUGUAAGACAGUAGCAAUUUUCCCUUAAGUAGAUGACCUAAGAUUUAUCAAUCCGUGAGAGGUGUAGGAUGAAGAUGGUCUCUCUCAAACGACCCUGCAACCAAAUAUAAGAAAUUUCUUGUGUCCCCAACACACCCAAUACAAUGGCAAAUUGUAUAGGAACACUAGUUCGGCGAAGAGAUGGUGAAAAGUGUAAUAUGGAUGGUAGAAAUAUAUUUUUAUAAUCUGAAUAAAUAAAAACAGCAAGGUAGCAAAUAGUAAACGAGCACAAAAACGGUAUUGCAAUGCUUAAAAACAAGGCCUAGGGUCCGUACUUUCACUAGUGCAACCUCUCAACAAUGCUAACAUAGUUGGAUCAUAUGAUUAUCCCUCAAAGUGCAAUGAAGAAUCACUCCCGAGUUCCUAUUAGCGGAGAACAAAAGAUAGAAAUUGUUUGUAGGGUACGAAACCACCUCAAAGCUAUUCUUUCCGUUCGAUCUAUUCAAGAGUUUGUACUAAAAUAACACAAAGCUAUUAUUUUCGUUCGAUCUAUCCUAGAGUUCGUACUAAAAUAACACCAAAGCAAAUUCAUAUUCAUAAUACUCAAUCCACACAAAGAACUACAGAGAGACCCCACCUAUCGAAGAAAAGAUAAUAAAAACGUGCAUCAACCCCUAUGCAUAGAUUACCCCAAUGUCACCUCGGGAAUCCGCAAGUUGAGUGCCAUAACAUAUAUCAAGUGAAUCAAUACGAUACCUCAUUGUCACCUCAAGUAUUCAUACCGCAAGACAUACAUCAUGUGUUCUCAAAUCUGAACAUUCAAUCCGACAAGACAAAACUUCAAAAGCUAAAGAUUCAGUUCAUCACAACAAGAGUAUGGAGGAGAGAAACAUCAUAUGAUCCAUCUAUAUUAACAAAGCCCAUGAUUAAACACAUAGCUACUGGUACAAACCCUCAGCCCCGAGGGUGGACUACUCCCUCAUUGUGGUGGCCGCCGAGAUGAUGAAGAUGGCCACCGGAGAUGAUUCCCCCCUCCGGUAGGGUGCCAGAACGGGCUCCCGAUUGGUUUUCGGUGGCUACAGAGCCUUGCGGCGGCGGAACUUCUGAUCUAGGUUAACCCCGAGGGUUUCUGGAAUUUUUGGGAAUUUAUAAGGUAAAGAGGGAGUGUGGGAGGCCACCGAGGUGGGCACAACCCACCCCCAGGCGCGCCCUGGUGGGUUGUGCCCCCCUCGGGGCACCCCCCAGGUGCUUCUCUGGCCCACUGUUGGUCUUCUGAUCCAUAAAAAAUCCACAAAAAGUUUCGCGGUGUUUGGACUCCGUUUGAUAUUGAUUUCCUACGAUGUGAAAAACAAGCAAAAAACAACAACUGGCACUGGGCACUGGGUCAAUAGGUUAGUCCCAAAAAAAUGAUAUAAAGUUGCUAUAAAAUGAUUGUAAAACAUACAAGAAUGAUAAAAUAACAGCAUGAAUACUUCAUAAAUUAUAGAUACGUUGGAGACGUAUCAGCAUCCCCAAGCUUAAUUCCUACUCAUCCUCGAAUAGGUAAAUGAUAAAAGAAAUAAUUUAUGAAGUGUGAAUGCUAGCAAAGUGCAUAAGUUUGAUCAAUGAUAAUUUCAAUCACUUUUCCUAGCAUCAUAACAACAAUUCUUUCUUAUAAAGUUUCUCAUGUUUAAAGUAGCAACCAAUUCACAUGUUAAAGUUGAAACAAUGAAUUCUCUUGAAACCCAACAACCUAUGUUCUCAGUCACCAAACAAUUGCAAUUCAACUUAUUCAACAGAGCUUAAGUAAGAGCUCCAUAUACUCAACCAUCAUAUAGUCUUCUAUGAUUGCUAACACUCACUGCGUACACAUGAGCAAAACGUUUCAACCGCACACAUAGAAAGAUAGGGGCUUAUUGUUUUGCCUCCCAACGUAUUCACCUCAAGGGUGAUGUCAACAAUAAUAAAUCAUGCUACCCAUAUCCAACUGGAUAUAUGCGCCUAGAUCUUUCCUCACCACAUGAUGCUUGCCAAAAGGGAAAAAUAAAAAGGAAUAGAGAGAAAAAACUUUGACUCUUUGCAUAAAAGUAAAUACUGAAAAGUAAAAGAUAGGCCCUUCGCAGAGGGAAGCAGAGGUUGCCAUGCGCUUAUUUGUUUGUAUGCUCAACCCCUUAGUGCAAAAGAACGUCACGUUAUAGUGCGCCUUAUGAUAGCAACCUUUAUUAUGCAGUCUGUCGCUUUUAUUCUUUGCCACCACAAGUUCGUACAACGCUCAAUUUUCUCUUACACUAAAUGAUCUAACACUUUUAGAAGCAAUUUUUAUUGCCUUAUUGCACCGAUGACAACUUACUUGAAGGACAUUAUUCAAUCCUUAGGUAGGUAUGGUGGACUCUUGAAAAUAAGAUUUGGGUUUAAGGGUUUUUGGAUGCACAAGUAGUAUCUCUACUUGGUGCGGAAUUUUUGGCUAGCAAAGAUGGGGGCAAGCAUCACAUGUUGAAGGAUCUAUGGCAAUAUAACUUCUAUGUGAAUAUGAACAAACAUAAACCAUUACGUUAUCUUCCUUGUCCAACGUCAACAAUUUUGGCAUAUAAUAUUUUGAUGGGGGCUCACAAUCACAAAAGAUUUCUAAGAUAGUGUAUUUGCAUAUGAAAGUUCUCUUCCUUAUACUAAUUAUUCGUGAAUUGCUUGUAUGACCAAUAUUGUGAUUGUCAAGCCUCAAAAGAUUUCACUUUCUAAACCCAAUGUGAAGCUACCACUAGGCAUGAUAUGAUUUCAACUUCAUGACAUUUAAUUUAUUCAACAAUUUACUCAUAGGAUAUAAGUGAAGCACAAGAGUAAAUGACAAGCUACUCCAAAAAGAUAUAAAUGAAGAUCAUGAGCAUAAUAUUUCUUUCUCCCAAAUUAAUUUAAGUGAAGCAAGAGAGAAUUUAUUUAAAAAUAUUAAAGCACACCGUGCUCAAAAAGAUAUAAGUGAAGCACUAGAGCAAUUCCAUAGAAAAGAGCUUCGUUAACGGGACGUGAAUGCCGCUUACUUAGCCUCCCUGGCAACUAUUUGAGGACUCUAUUUUAUUCAAAAACUUUCAGACCUAAGCAUUUUAUUAAAACAACAAGCAAAACAAAAUAAAAUUACAUCCAAGAAUAGCACGCAUCAUGUGAAGAAGCAAAAACUUAGGCUCAACCGAUACUAACCGAUAAUUGUUGAAGAAGAAAGGUGGGAUGCAUACCGGGGCAUCCCCAAGCUCAGAUGCUUGAGACUUCUUGAAUGUUAUCUUGGGAUGCCUUGGGCAUCCCCAAGCUUGAGCUUUUGUGUCUCCUUAAUUCCUUUAAUACCACGAUUUUCCUAAAUCUCAAAAGCUUCAUCCACACAAAACUCAACAAGAACUCGUGAGAUAAGUUAGUAUGAACCAAUGCAAAAACCUUAUCAUUCUCUACUGUAGCAAAUCACAAAUUAUUAUUCAACGUUCCAUACUAAAUGCCUCUGAUAUUUAAUACUCCUAUCCUCAAAUAGAAUCAUUAAGCAAGCAAACAUAUGCAAGCAAUGCAAACAUAACAGCAAUCUGCCAAACCAGUACAGUCUGUAAAGAAUGCAAGAGUAUCAAUACUUAUUCAACUCCAAACAUUAUGAAAUUCUACCACACUGUAAAAAAAUUAUCAGAGCUUAUUAUGCAAAAAAAUUGAACAUUCUAUCACAUUCUAACUUUUCUAGGGAAUUUUUGCAACAACGGCAAACUUUCUGUUUUCAAAAAGCAACAUGUAUACUUGCAAAAAUAAGCAUAGUAAAGGCUAUCAAUGCCACUUUUAUUGAAAUAAAAGAUGCAAAACAUUAUUCUAAAUAACAGCAAGAAAAUUCUAACAAAAUAAAUUGACGCUCCAAGUAAAACUUAUAUCAUGUGACGAAUGAAAACAUAGCUCCAAGUGAGGUUACCGAUAAUGUUGGAGACGAAAGAGGGGAUGCCUUCCGGGGGCAUCCCCAAGCUUAGUUGCUUGGAUCUUCCUUGAAUAUUACCUUGGGGUGCCUUGGGCAUCCCCAAGCUUAGGGUCUUGUUACUCCUUAUUCUCCUCAUAUCGACAUCUCACCCAAAACUUGAAAACUUCAAUCACACAAAACUUAACAAAACUUCGUGAGAUAGGUUAGUAUGAUAAAGAGCAAGCCAGUUCACUUUGGUACUGUCAAAGACAAGAUUCAUAAUUUUUUCCACACAAUUCCUACUGUAGCAUAUCGUUUCCACAAUUUAUAUUGAGCAAUAUAAUCCGUAGAAACUAGAAAACAAACAAACUAUGCAUUGAAAACAGAAUCUGCCAAAAAAGAACAGUAUGUAAUGAUAUGGAUAGCUACCAUACUUCUGCUACUCCAAAAAUUAUGAAAAAUUUAUGACCACGUCAGAAAUUUGUAUAUUAAACUUCUGCAAAAAGAAUCAACUCAAAAUCACUCUUAUGUUAAAAAUGAGAAUUAUUUUCAUGAGCGCAAAAGUUUCUGUUUUUCAGCAAGAUCAAAUCAACUAUCACCCAACAUGAUCCCAAAGGCUUUACUUGGCACUUUACUGAAACAAAAGCAAUAAAACAUGAUCAAUACAAUAGCAUAAUCAUGUGAACACACAAAAACAGUAAGUAAAAGUGUUGGGUUGUCUCCCAACAAGCGCUUUUAUUUAAUGCCUUUUAGCUAGGCAUGAUGACUUCAAUGAUGCUCACAUAAAAGAUAAGAAUUGAAACACAGAGAGAGCAUCAUGAAGCAUAUGACUAGCACAUUUAAGUCUAACCCACUUCCAAUGCAUAGGUAUUUUGUGAGCAAACAACUUAUGGGAACAAGAAUCAACUAGCAUAGGAAGGCAAAACAUGCAUAACUUCAAAACUUUCAACAUAAAGAGAGGAAACUUGAUAUUAUUGCAAUUCCUACAAGCAUAUGUUCCUCCCUCGUAAUAAUUUUCAGUAGCAUCAUGAAGAAAUUCAACAAUAUAACCAUCACAUAACGCAUUAUUUUCAUGAUCCACAAGCAUAGAAAUUUUGUUACUCUCCACAUAAGUAAAUUUCUUCAAAUCAAAAGUAGUGGGAGCAAACUCAACAAAAUAACUAUCAUGAGAGUGAAAAUUAAAAUCAUGAUGACAAGUUUCAUGGUUAUCAUCAUUCAAUAUAGCAUACAUGUCAUCACCAUAAUCAUCAUAUAUAGGAACUUUGUUGUCAUAAUCAAUUGCAACCUCCUCCAAAAUAGUGGAUUCAUCAUUAAAUAAAGUCACGACCUCUCCAAAUCCACUUUCAUCAAUAUAAUCAUCAUAAAUAGGAGGCAUGUAAUCAUCAUAAUAAAUUUUCUCAUCAAAACUUGGGGGACUAAAAAUAUCAUAUUCAUCAAAUAUAGCAUCCCCAAGCUUAUGGCUUUGCAUAUCAUUAGCAUCAUGGAUAUUCAAAGUAUUCAUACUAACAACAUUGCAAUUAUGCUCAUCAUUCAAAUAUUUUGUGCCAAAAAUUUUAUUGACUUCUUCUUCUAACAAUUGAGCACAAUUUUCCGAACCAUCAUUUUCAAGAAAGAUAUUAUAAAGAUGAUCAAUAAUAUGAUGCAAUCUCAAUUCCAUUUUUUAUUUAGUUUUCUUUUAUAAACCAAACUAGUGAUAAAACAAGAAACUAAAAGAUUCAAUUGCAAGAUCUAAAGAUAUACCUUCAAGCACUCACCUCCCCGGCAACGACGCCAGAAAAGAGCUUGAUGUCUACUACGCAACUUUAUUCUUGUAGACACGUGUUGGGCCUCCAAGCGCAGAGUUUUGUAGAACAAUAGCAAUUUUCCCUCAAGCGGAUGACCUAAGGUUUAUCAAUCCGUGAGAGGUGUAGGAUGAAGAUGGUCUCUCUCAAACGACCCUGCAACCAAAUACAAGAAAUCUCUUGUGUCCCCAACACACCCAAUACAAUGGUAAAUUGUAUAGGUGCACUAGUUCGGCGAAGAGAUGGUGAUAAAAGUGUAAUAUGGAUGGUAGAAAUAUAUUUUUAUAAUCUGAAUAAAUAAAACCAGCAAGGUAGCAAAUAGUAAACGGGCACAAAAACGGUAUUGCAAUGCUUAAAAACAAGGCCUAGGGUCCGUACUUUCACUAGUGCAACCUCUCAACAAUGCUAACAUAGUUGGAUCAUAUGAUUAUCCCUCAAAGUGCAAUAAAGAAUCACUCCCGAGUUCCUAUUAGCGGAGAAAAAAAGAUAGAAAUUGUUUGUAGGGUACGAAACCACCUCAAAGCUAUUCUUUCCGUUCGAUCUAUUCAAGAGUUCGUACUAAAAUAACACAAAGCUACUCUUUCCGUUUGAUCUAUCCUACAGUUUGUACUAAAAUAACACCAAAGCAAAUUCAUAUUCAUAAUACUCAAUCCACACAAAGAACUACAGAGAGACCCCAAUGUUUCUAUCAGAGAAAAGAUAAUAAAAACGUGCAUCAACCCCCAUGUAUAGAUUACCCCAACGUCACCUCGGGAAUCUGCAAGUUGAGUGCCAUAUAUCAAGUGAAUCAAUACGAUACCUCAUUGUCACCUCAACGAAUAUGCAAGCAUACAUUUCAUGCUUGUUUGAGUAAUAGCAAGGAGAUUCCGGCUUGCCCCUGUCUCUAAAAAGUGAAGGUCAGCUCCACGUGGGUAUUCCAUCAAGUAUUCAUACCGCAAGACAUACAUCAUGUGUUCUCAUAUCUGAACAUUCAAUCCGACAAGACAAAACUUCAAAGGGUAAAGAUUCAAUUCAUCACAACAAGAGUAUAGAGGGGAGAAACAUCAUAUGAUCCAUCUAUAUUAACAAAGCCCAUGAUAUAGAUCACGAGAGAGAGAGAUUAAACACAUAGCUACAGGUACAAACCCUCAGCCCCGAGGGUGGACUACUCCCUCCUCAUCGUGGUGGCCUCCGGGAUGAUGAAGAUGGCCACCAGAGAUGAUUCCCCCCUCCGGCAGGGUGCCGGAACGGGCUCCCGAUUAGUUUUUGGUGGCUACAGAGUCUUGCGGCAGCGGAACUUCUGAUUUAGGUUAACCCGGAGGGUUACUGGAAUUUUUGGGAAUUUAUAGGGUAAAGAGGGGGUGCGGGAGGCCAGCGAGGUGGGCACAACCCACCUGGGCGCGCCCAGGCGCGCCCUGGUGGGUUGUGCCCCCCUCGGGGCACCCCCAGGUGCUUCUCUGGCCCACUGUUGGUCUUCUGGUCCAUACAAAAUCCACAAAAAGUUUCACGGUGUUUGAUAUUGAUUUCCCGCGAUGUAAAAAACAAGCAAAAAACAACAACUGGCACUGGGUCAAUAGGUUAGUCCCAUAAAAAUGAUAUAAAGUUUCUAUAAAAUGAUUGUAAAACAUCCAAGAAUGAUAAAAUAACAGCAUGAAUACUUCAUAAAUUAUAGAUACGUUGGAGACGUAUUAGUGGCUCGCUCUGGCAGCGGGGAUGUGGAUCUGAGCUGCUCACCGAUACUAGAUGUAAAUGCUCCUACCCUGUCCUCCAUGACUACAACCAGUGACCAGUUGGCUUGGUGUGCUGCCUGCUAUCGGUGAUUCUGCUAUGCUAAUAUUGCUGCAAUCAGGCGGGUUCAGUUUUCUUCAAAGAACUCCUCGCGCCAACCUUUCUGGGGACGUGCAUUGCUCAAGCUGUCUGGGGAUGUGCAUUGCUGCCAGGGUGACUCGGUAGCUGAUUUCCAUCUUCGGCUUUGGGGCUCCAUAAUUUUGGCCUAGGAAGGAAACCCUAGAAGUCACACACCCCUCGCCUAGCAAAAAUUCCCCACCGCUGCCACCCCGCAGCGAGUUUCGACGAUGGCGGACGGAGGGCGUGGUCGCGGACGAGGUAAAGGAAAGGGAGGUAGAGGAGACAAUCAUGCCAAUUGACUGCAAGAUCAGUCUAUGAUGCAACCUUUGAUGGGCCCUCCCCCGCAACAAUUCUUGGCUAUGGAUUUCUGGGGCCGCCGCUAGAAUGGUGCUUCCUGGGGCAAUUCUCACACCCAUACCCACAACAAUAGUGGGGAGAGCCGCAGCAGCAGUGGUUCGGACUGUCGCCCCCUCCUCAAGGGCCACCCCAGGGACUAGGGGGGUCGAGCGCCACCGUUGAUCACAGUAACACCUCGGAUGGGGCGCAAGGGAUUGCCAGAGAAUUAGAUCAAGACUGCUCAAAGGAAGAAACAAGAGCAAGUAUCCAAAUCUUCCUCAUCUACCAUGCCUGGUUUGAUGUCAUAUGCUCUGAUGACCAGCUACAAUUGUGGUGAUCCUGGACACCAUAAAGAUAAGUGUGAGAAACCCAAAAGAUGUUUUAUCUGCAAAAUGGUCACACAUGUGGUGUAUGACUGCCCUGUUAGGAAGAAAGCUCACACCUCUUCUCGUUAUGUGGGUAGUGCAGCACCAGGACUGAGUUUCUAUCACCUAGAUGCUCCUGCUGUUAACUCUCAACACCAUGAAGGUCUAAAGAAUGUUAGUAUAGUGUUGAUUGAAACUGGUGAAGUGACCAAACUAGCUAAGGAGUUUGCUGAGAUCUAUAAGACAAACUGGCCAUGGCGCAUCAAUGCCCUUGGUGAAUGGGCCUUCCUGGUCAAGUUUCCUCCUGAGAUUGAUGUUGCACAUGUGGAUGGAUAUCCUUGCUUUUAGUACUGCAGGAAUGCAUAAAGUGGCUGGCGCAAAAAGGCCAGCAGUGGCGGGCCAGGUUCCCAGGCCCGCCCACCACCGACCUCCCGUCACUGCUAUAAUCGCAACAGUGGCGGGCGCCCGCCUGCCACUGAUCAUGUACUAGUUUUGGUGGGUGGUAGCGCGCGCCCGCCGCUAUUAUGAUUCUUACCUAUGGCGGGCGUCGUGUCUUGCCCGCCACAGUUGUUUUAUGCUAGCGAAAAAAAGCUACCGUGGUAGCGUUUUUAUGUGUCGUUGCAAUUUUUCCAGUUUAGCAAUAAUAUGAGUACCCUAAAGACAUAAAUAGCACACUUCAAGUAACUCUAAUAUUUAGUACAAGUACAAUACAAUAAGUGCAUACAACAUAUAUAUGUUCAAUAAAGUUCUAACUAGUAUCAUGAAACAAUACAUAUAUAUACGACACUUUUUUUUGAAAAGAAUGAUCACCCCCGGCCUCUGCAUCAAUCGAUGCAUGCAGCCAUAUUAUUAAAACAAAACGUAACAAAGUCAUGAGGUUCAAAGAAGCUCAUAAAAUGAGCAGUAGUCGAGAUAAAAUCUGAAAACGCCACAACUGUAGAUAAAGAACUGAAAAGUGCCACUUCCGGCGAUAAAACAACAAGCUACGAUGCCUACACACCUAGCCUAUUAUUAGAUCGCUGCCCAAAUCGGCUGAAGAUAGCCCGAGCUACCGUCUCUCAACGGUUGCACCCAAUAACCAUAAGCUCCCUGAAGUCCACAUACGUGAGUAAGGACUACAUACGGAUCCAAGCUGUAGCUCUGUAGAUAACCUACAAAAAAUUGGUGAAUUGUGUCAACCUGCAAAAAAUUGGUGAAUUGUGUCCCAUUAAAAAUCAUGUCAUUUCUAGUGUUACAUAUAGCCCAGAGUAGUGCACAUACUCCUAUCCGAAUAUGUUUAGCUAAGUGUACGUCCACUCCAUUAAUCCACGUCCCAAAUAACGUGUUUAUGCUCCUUGGGUGUUGAAUGUUAAAAGUUAUAUAAAUUGAUCGCCAUAAUAAUUGUGCUAGAGGGCAUUCAAGAAAGAGGUGUUUAACUGUUUCAUUUUGUCCACAAAAACAGCACCUAGAAUUACCAACCCAAUUCCUUUUUGCCAAGUUAUCUUUGGUUAGAAUGACUUCUUUAUGUACAACCACAUAAAGAUUUUAAUACGAAGCGGAACUUUAAUCUUCCAAAUGCGCAACGACCUCGACAAUGGCCCGGAGUCAAUUAGGUCCGAAUACAUGGUUUUCCCUGAGAAUAUUCCAUUCGUAGUUAACUUCCAGUGAAUUAUAUCGGGCUAAUCCGAUAGGUGAACCUCCAUCAACCUACGAACUAGGUGCAACCAAGCAUUACAACGUUCCCCUACUAGCGAUCUCCUAAAUUGGAUAUUAAGCGGUAUCGAGUGUAAUACUAUAGCGACGUAAUCCUCCUUACAUUGCACAAUAUUAUAUGAGGGAUACUGCAAAGCCAAAGGCAUCACCCCUAGCCAUGUAUCCUCCCAAAAUCGAGUAGUAUUACCAUUACCAACCAGGAACUUCACUCUUGGAAGAAAAUUGCUUUCGUCCUCAUUAAUCCCUUCCAAAUGGGUGAGUCCGUUGGCCUAGCGAUGACUUGGGCCAAAGUCUUAGAGUGUAAGUAUUUAUUCCACAAGAUUUGUACCCCAUACCCCCGUUCUCAGUAGAUAUUCUGUAUAGCCACUUGCUAAGCAGACAUCUAUUCUUGACCUCUAAAUUCUCGAUCCCUAACCCACCUUGGUCUUUUGGUCUGCAAAUAAUAUCCCAUCUAGCCAGUCUGUACUUCUUCUUGGCCUCAUCACUUUGCCAAAAGAAUCGGGAUCUAUAAAAGUCAAGUCUUUUUCGUACCCCUACCGGUACCUCAAAGAAGGAUAGGAGGAACAUCGGCGAACUCGUCAAAACCGAAUUUAUCAAAACCAACCGACCUCCAUUUGACAUGAGCUUGCCCUUCCAGCAGCUCAGUUUCUUUUCAAAACGAUCCUCUAUACAUUUCCAUUCCUUGUACGUUAAACAUCUAUGAUGAAUUGGUAUCCCUAGAUAACUAAAAGGUAAGGAUCCCAUUUCACAAGGGAACAAAUUUCUGUAAUCAUGUUGUUCCUCUUUGGCUCUCCCAAAGCAGAACAAUUUGCUUUUAUUGGAGUUAAUUUUGAGCCCAGACAAUUGCUCAAAAAGACACAAUACAAGCUUCAUAUUCCUAGCUUUUGCAAGAGCAUGUUCCAUCAAUAUAAUAGUAUCAUCCGCAUAUUGUAGGACGGAGAGUCCCCCCCCCCUCUACAAGGUGAGGGAUGAGUCCUCCUACUUGGCCACUCUCCUUGGCCCGACCAAUUAGUACUGCCAACAUAUCUGCUACAAUGUUAAACAACACAGGAGACAUGGAAACUCCCUGUCGUAACCCCUUAAGUGUCUGGAAAAAAUGUCCUGUAUCAUCAUUGACUUUUAUUCCGACACUACAUUUUUGUAUGAAUGAAUCCACCUGAGAUCUCCAAGAAUCAUUGAACCCCUUCAUUCGUAAGGCUUGCUGCAGAAAGGGCCAUUUGACCUUAUCAUACGCUUUUUCAAAAUCCACUUUGAAGAUAACGCCAUCUAAUUUCUUCUUAUGGAUUUCAUGAAGCGUUUCAUGUAGGACUACAACCCCUUCAAGGAUGUGUCGUCCUGGCAUGAAAGCAGUUUGUGUUGGUUGCACAACCGAAUGGGCUAUCUGUGUCAACCUGUUCGUGCCAACCUUUGUAAAAAUCUUAAAGCUUACAUUGAGAAGACAGAUCGGUCUGAAUUGCUCAAUGCAAAUAGCCUCAACCCUCUUUGGCAACAACAUUAUUGUUCCAAAGUUGAGGUGAAAGAGGUUUAGGUGGCCAUCGAACAAAACAUGGAACAUAGGCAUCGGAUCUCCCUUAAUGAUAUGCCAGCAUUUCUGGUAGAAUUCCGCCGGGAACCCAUCCGGCCCAGGAGCUUUAUUAUGUUUCAUUUACGUUAUUGCAUCAAACACCUCUUUCUUUGUGAACGGAGCAGACAACAACUCAUUCCGUUCUAAGUUAAGCUGAGGUAUGUCCUCGGUCGCACUCUCAUCUAGAGAUACAAAGCUUUGUUCUGGUGCUCCGAAAAGUUUCUUAUAAUAUUUAGAGAUGUACAAUUUGAGGUUCUCGUGUCCUACAAUUGUACCCUCAUAUUGUUCGAGCUGUAUUAUCUUCUUCUUUCUAUGUUUCCCAUUAGCUAUCAUACGAAAGAACUGUGUAUUAUCAUCUCCUUGGAUGAUCUUAGAAACAUUUGCUCUAAGCGCCCAUUUCAUCUCCUCCUCUCUCAUAAGGGCUUGUAAUUUUUUCUCGGCCUGAUUCUUAAUAUCUCUCUCUGACAUAUUAAGAAGGGUGGAUUCCGCUUUCACGUCUAGUUCAUUAAUAAUUUGUGUUAGUUUCUCCUUUUCAACUUUAUAAAUACCACUUUGGUUUUGGCCAUCCCCUCAAGAAUUGGCGCAACUGUCUAAUUUUGUUCUGCCAUAAUUCCACAUGAGAAGUCCCACCAGACUCCCUGGCCCAUUCCGUCGCAAUAAGAUUUAGGAACCCCUCCCUCUCGAACCAUCCUAGUUCGAAAGAGAACGUAUUUCUGUUGCCCACAUGGGUCGAUUCCCCGGAAUCGACCAGCAAUGGGGCAUGGUCUGAAAUGGCCCUUUGUAGAGCACCGACCGUUACCAGUGGAAAUUUCUGUUCCCACUCAACACUAGUGAGGACCCUGUCCAAUUUCUCAUAAGUAGGAAUUGGUAAGGAAUUAGCCCACGUGAAUUGUCUACGAGAGGUCAAUCUCUCUAAGUCGAGACUUUCAAUGAUCAUAUUGAACAUGAAUGACCACCUCCCAUCGAAGUUGUCAUUAUUUUUUCAUCUUGCCUUCUAAUGAUAUUGAAAUCUCCUCCAACCAUAAUAGGCAACCUCUCAUCCCCACAAAUUCUCACUAAAUCUAAAAGGAAGUCAGGCUUAAGUUCUGGCUGCGCCGCACCAUAUACGGCCACCAAAGCCCACCUGAAGCCAUCGAUUUUCGACCUCACUCGAAAUUUGACAGCAAAUUCACCGUGAACCACAUUUAGCACUUCUAAAGUUUCGCACUUCACCCCAAGUAGGAUCCCUCCAGAUCGCCCCCUUGGAGGUAGACAGUGCCAAUCGAAAUCAACCACCCCUGAAAUGGUGUUGAGAAACCGGGGAGUAAAAUUAUCUCUACACGUCUCUAAUAAAACCAUGAAAUCCAUUUUUUGCUCUAUCGAUGUAUCACUAAGGAAUCUUCCUUUAGCCAAGUCCGCUAGACCUCUGCUAUUCCAGAAUAUUCCUUUCAUAUUUCAUCAUGGAAUUUUUUCUUUUGUUUAACUCUCGCACUCCUACGCACCGCCGAUGUGGGAUAAACUUUCCUCUUCCAGGUUCUUUUUGGUUUAUCUUUCAUCGCCUCUAUGGGAAGAGGGUGGGUGUCAGUAGAAACAAAGGCAUAUGGUUGCAAAGGAGCCAUUUACCCCUCAGCAAUCACAUCCUCAUCCUCGCCUUCUAAGCCCUCCGUGGGGACUAAAUCCUCACAGAGACUCUGAAGCGAUGCUACUCCUAGAUCCUUAAUAUCAGUGUCAUUCAUGGGUUUUACCGCCGCUAAGUUUCGAAUUAAAUCCAGAGCUCUAUCUGUUUCUAAAUCUAACAGAUCAUUGAUGGAUUUAGCGGUUUCUUUGCCAUUAGUACCAAGAAAUAUCCCUAAGUUGCUGGCUUUAUCAAGAAUUUCAUGUUCAGAAAAGUGCAGAAUGGAACAACUUGUAUUAAUUGACAUACCUGUAUGAGCUUCGAUGUCUCAAAGCUUGGCGGGCCUCAUAGCUCGCCCCAUCUGUAUGUCAUCCGCGUCCGGCUGACCCUGGAUCCGGUGACUGAACCGUCUGUCACCGGACAUAGGAUCCGGAAUACCUCCAAAAGCGAUGACAUCCUCCGCAGCGACUCCAUGUGGGCUGUGACCGCCUGUCAUAUGCCCGAAUGAGUCCGAAGAAGUGAGAGACAUGGACCUCCCAGGCUGACCCACCACGGCACCAUUAACCGCGACGGCCGAAGCACUGAUCACCGGCGAUCUGCUAUCAUCACUGCCCGACCUGGACACCACCUGUGUCGAGCUGGUCGGACGUGGCGACAAAGAGCGAGAUGGAUGCCUAGAACCCUCCACUGUAGGUGAGGGAGAGGUCGCCGCCGGUCGUCCCUCCACUGCCACCACCACCGUAGACACAUCCGUCUCCACGGGGGUGGAUCACCAGAGAAAGUAUACAUAUUAUGAUGAGGCGUUAAGCAACUUAGGUACUACAUCGAGCAACGCUAUUUCACAGCCGAGACUUUGCACAGAUCAAGCUACAGGAUGUGUGCGAGAGACAAUGGAGAUAGAAUUCGUAUAGAGGGCAUUGGACGGGAUUGAUUUUGCUGCGACUACGAUAUAAAAAGAGGAGACACGAAACAUUUUCACUACAACUGUAGAGAUUUUGUGAUGUAUAUGUCCCCAAUACAUCCAAAUGGUGAACCAAAAGGUAUAAUUUGUAAGUACAUAUUGUUUUAUAUUAGUUAUUUUUUAGUAAUAAUUUUUGAUAACUAACAAUUGGUCAAUUUUUUUAAAUUCAUAAAGCUGACGUAUUUGAUGAAUGAGAAAGACCUAUUGCAUACAACAAUGAGUUUAAUCUAACACAAAGGUAAGUCAACAACAUGCACACUAUAUUACAGAUGUAUGAGGACUAUUCUGCGCAGGUACAUUGCUUUACAGCUGCGAACAUAUAUGAUACUCACUUGGUAAGUACUAUACAAUAUGUAAAAUGCAAUCUCAUCACUCCACAUUUUAAUAAAAUUUAUUCCUUUUUAAUGCAGGUAAUACAUAGACCAAUAGUUGGGAGCUUUGGUCUACAACAAUACAGUUCAAUUUUACUGCAAAUGAGCCGGCAAACACACCAAUCAAUAGAAGUUGAUUAUCAGAUUAAAAGAGAUGGCGUCCGAUGAAGACCAGGAAAGCAUUCCAGGGAAUAAUCUGCUGCCAGUAGCCCUGCUUCGUUUCAUCGCUCCUUCUGGAGCUAAAACCUGAUAUGUUCAGUCGUGCCUUGCUUUUGUAUUUCCUAUUUUCGUUGAACUACUCCUCUUAGUGAGCUGAUGUAUGGAUGACCAUUUUGGUUUCAUUCAAGCAAUGGAACCGGGGAGGAACCUCCCUAUUCUUCUAAAUUCUAAAAAUAGAUAUUAUUUAUGUUAAGAAAAUCAUUAUUACAGAGUUUUUUGUGUAUGGGUCAGCACAUAGAUUUCUAGAGAUGUUGAAUAGUGGUGUUUCUCAUGUUGCAUUGUCUUUUUGGAUAAAAGACAGAUUUUAUUAGCUCAGUAUGAAACAUCAAGGGAUACAAACACAAAGAAAACACACCCAGCUUCUGCCUAGUCAGGAUGCACACAGGGCCGGUCCUGAGAUUUCGGGGGUCCGGGACGAAACUAGAACCGGGUUCUUUAAUACAAACUUAAAAUAAUACUAAUCAAAUUAUUAGUAUAUUCCUAGAAGAGGUUGGACAGGGAGGAGCAACUCACCUAAGACGAGCAGCCUCGCUCGGAACCGUUUCGUAGGGUCAAGGCAAUUUUUCUCUACCCUAUAGAUUGACCACGAAAAAGCCCUAUCCCAAAAACGGUGCCCCGGCGGGUGAUACACAUUGAUCAACUAAAAUCCCUCUAACCAAUCAAGGCAUGUGGCACAUACGAGAUGAGGCCUCAGGACCGGGGCUCGAUGCACACACACCUAACACAAACGCACACAUAAAAAUUACACACCCCUAAAAAAACAUAAAAAUUACACUAGCAGCUAGCAAAGUCAUAAAAGACCAAAGCUAUGUCAAGGCGGAUAGAAAAAAAAAUAGCAGCGACAAUCCAUGCUGUGUUGGCCAAAGAAGAUGAUGCAAACGCAUGUGAUCCGGACAUGGACACAGCCACGCGGACAAAGGGUUGUAUCGUCUAGUGGCGGCAAUUUCUUGUUUUCUACGUUGAACCAGACGCUCCAUCCUAACCCUAACCCCUCCUUGAAUUGACAGCACCAGAAAAACACGGAGUGAUGCUUAGGCGUUAAGAAUUAGACCGAUAUAUGAUGAUUUAAGUAAUGCGUUGGGCGGCAUGACCUGGCAAUCUAGAAGCUUGUCAGUCUCAGCGAGUGUCAAUGCCAUCAAUUCUUUAAUAUAUAAACCUCAAUUUCUUAGCUUAGUCGUAGAUAGUAGUACUACGUACUAGGUAGCUGCUGUGAACCUGUGACCACAACUGGCAACUUGUGAGCCCCGGUACCAACAACGACACCAGAGCAAGAAAAAAGCAGAACAAUAAUGCAGGACAGUGGCUUAUGCAGGCAUAUAUUUGUUCAUUACAAACAUAAAUGUACAUUCAUACUUAUUAUUAUUUCGAAAACUGCCAGAUUCAAACGAACUAAUAAACUCUCUCAUAGAAAGACGGGAGAAGACACAUUCGCAUGGAUCAACGUAGCGAUCCACACCAAACUCAGAAGAUGGCUAGCUAGACCGCCCUGCAGCUGAUCAACAUCUUGAAUUUUUUCUCAGACUAAGAAGCGAUCCGGUCACGAUCAAGUAGGCACAUUCACAUUGAAAUCGUCGCUGCAAUUCGGGUUUAUUCUCUCGACUUGAACGCGGACAACGGACACGGCAUGAAGCGGGUGGCAGCAAGGUACAAUCUCUGCAUGAGAAAGGCAAGCCAUGGUGGUCAUUGAACAGAUCAAGUGUCAUUUUCUGAAGGAUAUAGAGAGAGUAGUAUAUAUUGCUUACACCAGGGGACGAUCUUCCAGCGCUGAUUGUCGCCCUUGCACCACUCCCAGAGCACGACCUCGGUGCCGUCGUGGACGCCGCCGUGGUCCUUGUCGCCGUGCAGCGCGUCGAAGUUGAGGUAGAUGUUGUUCACCAUGCGGACGCAGCGGAAGCCCUUGCCCACGUCCCUGCUCUCCGUCCAUAGCACCGACUCGUCCAUGUACUCCGGGUUGUAACCCACAAGCUUCACCUGCAGUCCGCUCACAUGUCAAGCACGGUUCACCAGCGUGUUGCAAACGUCUCAAAACGUACGGGAGCAGGUGUAGAACAAUUUCAAUUCGUGUGACGCGAACAUGGAAAUCGUAAACGUAGAUAGGCACGUGCCAACCCCUGCAUGGACCUACUCGCUUGAAUUUAAGGAGCACAGACAGAG
This 26445-nucleotide long non-coding RNA is filed under the name Triticum aestivum (bread wheat). RNAcentral describes it as "long non-coding RNA (TAES_LNC023645)". Lineage: Eukaryota; Viridiplantae; Streptophyta; Magnoliopsida; Poales; Poaceae. The record is from RNAcentral.